Non-coding RNA from Equus caballus (horse), 3778 nucleotides. Lineage: Eukaryota; Metazoa; Chordata; Mammalia; Perissodactyla; Equidae. The record is from RefSeq and is a predicted model, not a curated record.
GUGUAUUUCCGGUUCCGGGAGCAACGAACGGCCGCGGCGGCGACAGCUACCGCUUGAGAGGAAGAGGCUGCAGAGGAGGAAGAAGAAGAGCAGGGCAAGGCGGGAGUUACAGGCGGGACCGUUGUCAUGGGUCUGCGGACCUAGAGCGGCGGGAGCUACUGGCCCAGUGCCGAACUGGCUGCUGCUGCUUCCUGUGGCCCCAAUGGCUGAGGACUGGCUGGACUGCCCAGCCCUGGGCCCUGGCUGGAAGCGCCGUGAGGUCUUUCGCAAGUCAGGUGCCACCUGCGGACGCUCAGACACCUAUUACCAGAGCCCCACAGGAGACAGGAUCCGAAGCAAAGUAGAGCUGACCCGAUACCUAGGCCCUGCGUGUGACCUGACCCUCUUCGACUUCAAACAAGGCGUCCUGUGCUAUCCAGCCCCCAAGGCCCAUUCCUUGGCUGCCCCCAGCAGGAAGCAGAAGAAGCCUUCAAGGCCAGCCAAGGCUCAGAAACGUCUGGUUGGACCUCAGAGGAAUGAGGUCAGGAAGGAGGCCCCAGGGGAUGAGACGAAGGCUGACACUGAUACAGCCCCAUCUUCGCUCCCUGCACCUGGGUGCUGUGAGAAUUGUGGAAUCAGUUUCUCAGGGGAUGGUAUCCGAAGGCAGCGGCUCAAGACAUUGUGCAAGGACUGCCGAGCGCAGAGAAUUGCCUUCAACCGGGAGCAGAGGAUGUUUAAGCGAGUGGGCUGCGGGGAGUGUGCAGCCUGUCGGGUAACGGAGGACUGCGGGGCCUGCUCCACCUGCCUUCUGCAGCUGCCCCAAGACGUGGCCUCAGGGCUAUUCUGCAAGUGUGAGCGGAGACGGUGCCUCCGAAUUGUGGAAAGGAGCCGAGGGUGUGGAGUGUGCCGGGGCUGUCAAACCCGAGAGGACUGUGGCCGCUGCCGAGUCUGCCUUCGCCCUCCCCGCCCUGGUCUCAGGCGCCAGUGGAGGUGCGUCCAGCGGCGCUGCCUACGGCACCUUGCCCACCGCCUCCGUCGCCACCAUCAGCGAUGUCAACGACGCCCUCCCCUAGCUGUGGCUCCCCCUGCUGGUAAACAUGGCCGCCGCAGGGGAGGCUGCGACUCCAAGAUGGCUGCCCAGCGGCGGCGCCCUCGAACCCAGCCGCUGCCUCCACCUCCCCCAUCUCAGCCUCCAGAAUCCCCAGAGCUGCACCCCAGAGCCCUGGCCCCCUCGCCACCUGCUGAGUUCAUCUAUUACUGUGUAGACGAGGACGAGCUACAGCCUUACACGAAUCGCCGACAGAACCGCAAGUGUGGGGCCUGUGCAGCCUGCCUUCGGCGGAUGGACUGUGGCCACUGCGACUUCUGCUGUGACAAGCCCAAAUUUGGGGGCAGCAACCAGAAGCGCCAGAAGUGUCGUUGGCGCCAAUGCCUGCAGUUUGCCAUGAAGCGGCUGCUGCCAAGUGUCCGGGCAGGGUCCGAGGAUGGAGCAGGGUCGCCCCCACCUUACACUCGUCGAAAGAGGCCUGGCUCUACUCGACGGCCCCGUCCGAAGCCCCCCUCAGCCACACCCACAGCCCGACCAGACCGUGCCCAGGUUCCAAUGAAGCAGGAAGCAGGCAGUGGCUUUGUACUGCCCCCACCUGGCACCGACCUUGUGUUCUUACGGGAGGGUGCGAGCAGUCCCGUGCAGGUGCCUGGCCCUGCCCCAGCUUCCACAGAAGCCUUGUUGCAGGAGGCCCAGUGCCCUGGCCUGAGUUGGGUUGUGGCCUUACCCCAGGUGAAGCAAGAGAAGGCGGAUGCCCAAGAAGACUGGACACCGGGCACAGCCAUCCUGACUUCUCCUGUAUUGCUGCCUGGCUGCCCCAGCAAGGCAGUAGACCCAGGCCUGCCACCUGUGAAGCAAGAGCCACCUGACCCUGAGGAGGACAAGGGGAAGGAGAGCAAAGAUGACUCCACCUCUCACUCCGCCCCAGAGGAGGCAGGAGGGGCUGGCACACCUGUGAUCACGGAGAUUUUCAGCCUGGGUGGAACCCGCCUCCGGGACACAGCAGUCUGGUUGCCAAGGUGUGCCCCGCACAGUGAGAGUCUGCAGGGCAGGCAUUCGGGAAGGGAAGAUGGAUAUAAAGUGUGGGAGACCGAGGACACAUUGGCGCUCACGAGCAGGAGCUGGAACCCACGAGGAUGGCCUGGAACCCAUGUCAGUCUCUCACCACCUCCAGCUUCGAUGAUGUGGGUGUCCUGCAGAAGAAGCUGGUGCCCUUCAUCACAGAGUUAAAUAUGCAUCUGACCCAGGAAUUAGAGAAGCUGAAGGAAGAUUCCGGGGAAGGUGGAGCAGCUGCAGGCCUGGCUGCAGGCCUGCCUGCUGCCCCACACCAACGAGGUGAGCCAGCAGAUACAUGACAACAUGUGUGAACUGCAACAGUGCCUGGUGCCCCUGCACCAACCUUCCAAGUGUAAAAACAAUAUGCUGCUGCUUCACUUCUGCCCUCCAGUUAUCACGCAAAUGUCUCUGGUGGCCCAUCCUAACUGGAAGCAUACGGGGAAGGGAGUUCUGGGAGACGUAGCCUAGUCAAGGUGAUACAUUACAAAGCCACCCUGCCAUGAAUCAGCUCCCAAGGGUCUCACUACUCACCUGAGGAUAACUUGAUAAAGCUACGUUGCUGAAAAUGCAAAGCUGAAGACCAUGGAUUUCAUGGUGACCCCAGCAAGUACAGAAAUUCUGUCAAGCCCACCCAGAAAAAACUUGCUGGUCUCGGCUAUUUUUGUGUGGUUCAUUCAAGUAUUGAGAACCUGGCCCAUGGUAGGCACUGUACUUAAUACUGGGAUACAGGAAUGAGAAAGAUAUAGCCCAUACAAUUUUAUUAAAUGCAUCAAUAUGUAUUACAAAUGGUGAAUGGAGUUCCAACUUUAUCAUGGAAUUUAAUGGUGAAAAUAUAGAAUUCAGGAAACUAUCAGGAGGACAGCCUUUGCGUGAACCUUGUUGGGGCACAAUAGGAAUUGGAAGUAAUGUGGUUUCUAUCCCUAAGCUGUUGUAUUUUUAAAUUAUUUUUAAAUGAUUUUUAUUGUCCCGUUUGCUGAUUCAUAUACUUAGUUGUUUCUUUUGGGAGUGUCUUGAUGGUGGUAACAGUGUUGACUGCCACUGAGAAAGUGGGAUAGUGGGUAGCAAGAUCAAGGUCAGGUUCUGUCCAAGGACCUUGGGCGAAUCUCUUCUCUAGGCCGCCGAAGGGAUUUGGCUAAAGGCCAGGGCUUACCGCACCGGGGGGCCGGGCCGGCCCCUCCGACCUCCGAAUAGGCUCGCCAGGGGGCGCCGGGGCCGCGGUCCUCCCACUGGGGUCUGGAGACAGCUGUCCCCCAGCCCUGGCCUGGGCGGCCCUGGGGCGUGGCCUCUGCUCGCCGUUUCCCUGGGCCAUCCCAGAGGGAAGCCGACUCCCCUUCAAAUAGUGGUAAAGCCGGCAAAACCCAAUCGGAGUUAAAUUAUCGGGCUCGCCCAGGGUGAGGGCGCGGCGCGACGAGCUCGGGACCAACGCUAGGACGUUCGAGGGCAGCCGGGUGUGGCCUAGGGUCGGCUUCCCCCGCGCCGAAAACUUCGACGGGACUCUCCAGGCUGUACGACCUCGGGGGGUGCCCGACCGGCGUCCCUGAAUCUCGGCGGCUUCGCCCAAACCCCGCGGCUGGCGCUACGUAAACUCUUAGCAGUAAAUGAAAAUGAGUAUUUUACCGAACUGCAAUUGAAAGAAGAAGCAUUAUAGGAGAAAAAAGACAAAAUGAUAAUUAUUAAAAGAUUAUUGAAAGAGAA